Molecule: regulatory RNA element, 60 nt
Organism: Delftia acidovorans SPH-1
Lineage: Bacteria; Pseudomonadati; Pseudomonadota; Betaproteobacteria; Burkholderiales; Comamonadaceae
Rfam family: Xanthine riboswitch aptamer (NMT1 RNA)
About the family: Later it was reported as a ncRNA that recognised Xanthine.
Source: Rfam
UCGUUGAGUAGAAGCGUUCAGCACGCGCCCAGUGCGCGUUGCCCGGAAAUUGCUCAUGUC